ACGCACGCUGGCGGCGUGCCUAAUACAUGCCAGUUGAGCGCUGAAGGUUGGUACUUGUACCAACUGGAUGAGCAGCGAACGGGUGAGUAACGCGUGGGGAAUCUGCCUUUGAGCGGGGGACAACAUUUGGAAACGAAUGCUAAUACCGCAUAAAAACUUUAAACACAAGUUUUAAGUUUGAAAGAUGCAAUUGCAUCACUCAAAGAUGAUCCCGCGUUGUAUUAGCUAGUUGGUGAGGUAAAGGCACACCAAGGCGAUGAUACAUAGCCGACCUGAGAGGGUGAUCGGCCACAUUGGGACUGGGACACGGCCCAAACUCCUACGGGAGGCAGCAGGAGGGAAUCUUCGGCAAUGGACGAAAGUCUUACCGAGCAACGCCGCGGGAGGGAAGAAGGUUGUCGGAUCGUAAAACUCUGUUGGUAGAGAAGAACGUUGGUGAGAGUGGAAAGCUCAUCAAGUGACGGUAACUACACAGAAAGGGACGGCUAACUACGUG
RNAcentral lists this ribosomal RNA (496 nucleotides) under uncultured bacterium. RNAcentral describes it as "partial 16S ribosomal RNA". It matches the Rfam family "Bacterial small subunit ribosomal RNA", at positions 29 to 507 of the family's 1533-position model. The record is from RNAcentral.